RNAcentral lists this ribosomal RNA (472 nucleotides) under uncultured bacterium. RNAcentral describes it as "bacterial SSU rRNA". It matches the Rfam family "Bacterial small subunit ribosomal RNA", at positions 424 to 914 of the family's 1533-position model. The record is from RNAcentral.
UGUAAAGCUCUAUCAGCAGGGAAGAAAAUGACGGUACCUGACUAAGAAGCCCCGGCUAACUACGUGCCAGCAGCCGCGGUAAUACGUAAGGUGCAAGCGUUAUCCGGAUUUACUGGGUGUAAAGGGAGCGUAGACGGCUAAGCAAGUCAGAAGUGAAAGGCUGUGGCUCAACCCCGGGACUGCUUUUGAAACUGUUUGACUGGAGUGCUGGAGAGGUAAGCGGAAUUCCUAGUGUAGCGGUGAAAUGCGUAGAUAUUAGGAGGAACACCAGUGGCGAAGGCGGCUUACUGGACAGUAACUGACGUUGAGCUCGAAAGCGUGGGGAGCAAACAGGAUUAGAUACCCUUGUAGUCCACGCCGUAAACGAUGAAUACUAGUUGUCGUGGAGCACAGCUCUUCGGUGCCGCCGCAAACGCAAUAAGUAUUCCACCUGGGGAGUACGUUCGCAAGAAUGAAACUCAAAGGAAUUGAC